This 467-nucleotide ribosomal RNA is filed under the name uncultured bacterium. RNAcentral's name for it is "partial 16S ribosomal RNA". It matches the Rfam family "Bacterial small subunit ribosomal RNA", at positions 28 to 507 of the family's 1533-position model. The record is from RNAcentral.
GACGAACGCUGGCGGCGUGCUUAACACAUGCAAGUCGAACGGAAAGGCCCUGCUUUUGUGGGGUGCUCGAGUGGCGAACGGGUGAGUAACACGUGAGUAACCUGCCCUUGACUUUGGGAAACUUCAGGAAACUUGGGCUAAUACCCGAUAAGAGCUUCUUCCUCCUGGUUGGGGUUUGAAAGUUUCGGCGGUUGGGGAUGGACUUGCGGCUUAUCAGCUUGUUGGUGGGGUAGUGGCUUACCAAGGCUUUGACGGGUAGCCGGCCUGAGAGGGUGACCGGCCACAUUGGGACUGAGAUACGGCCCAGACUCCUACGGGAGGCAGCAGUGGGGAAUAUUGCACAAUGGGCGGAAGCCUGAUGCAGCAACGCCGCGUGCGGGAUGACGGCCUUCGGGUUGUAAACCGCUUUCGCCUGUGACGAAGCGUGAGUGACGGUAAUGGGUAAAGAAGCACCGGCUAACUACGUG